AGAUUGAACGCUGGCGGCAUGCCUUACACAUGCAAGUCGAACGGCAGCACGGGAGCAAUCCUGGUGGCGAGUGGCGAACGGGUGAGUAAUACAUCGGAACGUGCCCAAUCGUGGGGGAUAACGCAGCGAAAGCUGUGCUAAUACCGCAUAAGAUCUACGGAUGAAAGCAGGGGAUCGCAAGACCUUGCGCGAAUGGAGCGGCCGAUGGCAGAUUAGGUAGUUGGUGAGGUAAAGGCUCACCAAGCCUUCGAUCUGUAGCUGGUCUGAGAGGACGACCAGCCACACUGGGACUGAGACACGGCCAGACUCCUACGGGAGCAGCAGUGGGGAAUUUGGAC
Molecule: ribosomal RNA, 338 nt
Filed under: uncultured soil bacterium
Lineage: Bacteria
Description: bacterial SSU rRNA
Rfam family: Bacterial small subunit ribosomal RNA
Source: RNAcentral